GAUGAACGCUGGCGGAAUGCUUUACACAUGCAAGUCGAACGGCAGCACGGACUUCGGUCUGGUGGCGAGUGGCGAACGGGUGAGUAAUGUAUCGGAACGUGCCCAGUCGUGGGGGAUAACGUAGUGAAAAUUACGCUAAUACCGCAUACGAUCUAUGGAUGAACGCGGGGGAUCGCAAGACCUCGCGCGAUUGGAGCGGCCGAUACCAGAUUAGGUAGUUGGUGGGGUAAAGGCCCACCAAGCCAACGAUCUGUAGCUGGUCUGAGUGGACGACCAGCCACACUGGAACUGAGACACGGUCCAGACUCCUACGGGAGGCAGCAGUGGGGAAUUUUGGACAAUGGGCGCAAGCCUGAUCCAGCCAUUCCGCGUGCAGGAUGAAGGCCCUCGGGUUGUAAACUGCUUUUGUACAGAACGAAAAGGUUUCUACUAAUACUAGGAGCUCAUGACGGUACUGUAAGAAUAAGCACCGGCUAACUACGUGCCAGCAGCCGCAGUAA
RNAcentral lists this ribosomal RNA (500 nucleotides) under uncultured bacterium. RNAcentral's name for it is "partial 16S ribosomal RNA". It matches the Rfam family "Bacterial small subunit ribosomal RNA", at positions 28 to 523 of the family's 1533-position model. The record is from RNAcentral.